Molecule: ribosomal RNA, 350 nt
Filed under: uncultured bacterium
Lineage: Bacteria
Description: bacterial SSU rRNA
Rfam family: Bacterial small subunit ribosomal RNA
Source: RNAcentral
AACGAACGUUGGCGGCGUGCCUAACACAUGCAAGUCGAGCGCGGGCAGGACUUCGGUCCUGUUCCGAGCGGCGCACGGGUGAGUAACACGUGAGUAACCUGCCUCGAAGUUUGGGAUAACCGGCCCGAAAGGGUGGCUAAUACCGGAUAAGCCCCCACUGGCACAGGCCAGAGAGGGAAAAGCCUUGGCGCUUCGAGAUGGGCUCGCGUCCCAUUAGCUAGUUGGUGAGGUAACGGCUCACCAAGGCGGAAGAUGGGUAGCUGGUCUCGAGAGGAUGAUCAGCCACACUGGAACUGAGACACGGUCCAGACUCCUACGGGAGCAGCAGUGGGGAAUAUUGCGCAAUGGGC